Molecule: unclassified non-coding RNA, 245 nt
Filed under: Hevea brasiliensis (rubber tree)
Lineage: Eukaryota; Viridiplantae; Streptophyta; Magnoliopsida; Malpighiales; Euphorbiaceae
Source: RNAcentral
GAAGAAAGAAAGAAAAAAGAGACCAUGAACUAUGCCAAUUGCUAGUGGUAGCAGCCUUUACUAGCAAGAUAUCUAGAGCAUGGCAAGGGAGACAUAUCUUUUUACCACUUUGUACCUCACAAGUGCAUGCCUCUAUAAUGCUAUCACCUACCUCAUCCCCGUAGAUGCAAUAGCCCAAUUAUCUAAGUGACAUAUGCCACAAUCAUGCCCUUAAAAACUACAACACUAACAACAAAGCCUUAAUC